AAUAAAAUUAUUUAUUUAUAAUAAAAAAUAACUUAAUAAUUAAUUAAUUUUUCAAAAAAUUGAACUGUAAAGGUUUUUUAUUAAAAAGAAAAUAGUAAUUUUUUGUACCUUUGGUAUUAGGGAUUUUCUAAAAAAAAUAAGUAUUUAUUUUUCUCGAAACUAACUGAUUUAUAAUUAUAAAUAAUUUCUGUUUCAAAAGAAAUUUAAAUAUAAUUAUAGAAGUGAAAUUCUUGUCAAAGUUAGAGAUAACUAGUUAUUUUAAAAAAUUGUAUAUUUUCUUAUAAAUCUUUAUAAUUAAUAAAUUUUAUAAGAUAAAUUCUAAGGGAUAAGCUUUGGAAUUUUAAUUUAAAAAUUAAAAAUUUUUCUUAAAAAGAUUUAAAAUUUUUCUUUUAUUGUUAUAAAUAAUUAUAAAUAUAUUUAUAUAUAUAUUAAAUUAGCUUAAUAAUUAAAAAAAACUGUUUUUUUAAACUAAAAUGAAAAUAUUAGUAUAAGAAUGUAUAAAUAAAUAUAUAUAUAUAUAUGUAUAUAUAUUAUUAAAUUAUAAUUAAUUUUAAAGAACUCGGCAAAAAAAAUUUUUCUGACUGUUUAAUAAAAACAAUGUAUUUAGAUGUAAUUAAAUAUAAAUCCUGCUCAAUGUUCACAUAAAUUGCUGUAGUAUUUUGACUAUACAAAGGUAUUGUAAUAAGACUUUAAUUGAGUGCUAAGAGAAUGGAAUUUCAGGAAAAAUCUUUUUUUAAAUUAAAAAUAGAAGUUAUUUUUAUUUGUGAAGAAACAAUAAUGUAAAUUUAGGACAAGAAGACCCUAUGAAUUUUUAUAUCUUUUAUAAAUUUAGGUGAAUAAAAGAUAUUUAAUUGGGGCGAUUAUAAAAUAUUUGUAACUUUUUAUAAAGUAAAAAGUUGAUCCAUUAUUAAUGAUAAUAUGAAUAAAUACUCUAGGGAUAACAGCGUAAUAAUUUUGGAUAGAUCUUAUAGAUAAAAUAGUUUGCGACCUCGAUGUUGGAUUAGGAUUCUUAUUUAAUGAAGAAGUUAAAUAAAGAAGUUUGUUCAACUUUUAAAUUCCUACAUGAUCUGAGUUUAGACCGAUGUAAAUCAGGUUGGUUUCUACCUUAAUUAAAAUUAAGUUUCGAUUAGUACGAAAGGAAUUUUGAAACAAAUAACAUAUUAAAAUAAAAACGUUUUUGCAUCAAU
This 1187-nucleotide ribosomal RNA is filed under the name Haemaphysalis yeni. RNAcentral's name for it is "16S ribosomal RNA". The record is from RNAcentral. Lineage: Eukaryota; Metazoa; Arthropoda; Arachnida; Ixodida; Ixodidae.